RNA transcript from Arvicola amphibius (Eurasian water vole), 3561 nucleotides. It is a transcript of the gene named serine/arginine repetitive matrix protein 1-like, with no coding region annotated. The transcript is spliced from 5 exons. The record is from RefSeq and is a predicted model, not a curated record. Lineage: Eukaryota; Metazoa; Chordata; Mammalia; Rodentia; Cricetidae.
CCCGAGGGCCGGGAUCCAAGGCGGGCGCCACCGCCGCCGCCCGGCUCCCCGACUCUCUGGGAUCCUCGCUCUGGAACCUCUAACCUGGUGACCCCGAGGUUCCGCCAGGGAGUCUGGGGCGCAGACGAGCAUGUCCCAGCCCAGCCGCCCGCCCGCCCUCACACCGGGAAGGACAAGGUCAGACAAUGCGUCCUCUUGGGGCCUGAGCCCUCACUGUGCACUAGGGACCAGACAGCAGCGGAGAAGUCUCCCCAGGUAUCAUCAUCUCCACCCCCGCAGAGACGAAUCUCAUCACCAGUCCCCACCGAGAGUGCGGAUCCAGCUGCACAGACGCCAGGACGGAAGAAAAGUUGUUUGCAUUAACAAAACGACAUCUGCCGAUGUGGGCUGAGAAACCACACGCUGGGCUCCAAGAAAAGUUCCCCUGAGACACUGUCCUGGCGCUGCCAGCUCAUAGGCGAGAGACAGCCACCAAAGUCAGGGGCUCAGGAACAGUACAAAAAAAUCACAAGCUAUCCCAGACGGUGCACAUCACGGGCCAGGCCAAAAUCUGCAACCUUCAUCACGUUGUCCUCAGUCACCAACACGUUUCUGGCAGCCAAGUCUCUGUGAACGCACUGAGGAGGCGUGAAAGGAACCUGGCUACGCUGACACCUCCCUCGCCUAAGCAGGCUGGACACCCACUCUUCCACGCUGACAGACCCUACCCGGCCUGGGCCCCAGCUCUGCUCACCUUCCGAGAAGCCAGGUGCUCCAUACCUCGGGCCACCUGACAGGCACAGGACACGAGAUCUUUGCGGCAUUUUCACAGCCACGGUGACGGGCUCGGCAGUGCUGUCCAGGUGAAGGCCAACAGCCUCUGCCUUAAAAACCUGGCCAAAGCAGCCUUCUCCUAGAGAAUGACCGAGUGUCAGCCUGUCCGAAGAAGCAGAGGCCGCCAGAAGAGGGCGCCAGACCCCAUUACAGAUGGCUGUGAGCCACCAUGUGGUUGCUGGGACUUGAACUCAGGACCUCGGGAAGAGCAGGCCGUGCUCUUAACCACUGAGCCGUCUCCCCAGCCCCCGGCAAUGCGCUUCUGCUCAUGAAGACAGAGUAACCCGAGUCUCACCCUGGACCCCACCUCGGGAGUAUUUCACCCCACCUGCCACAGGCCCCUGCCUGGUAGCCAUCUAGCCCCCAGCCACAGAACCCUCUCCAGGUCUACACAACGCCCCACCAGCACUGACCUAAUUCUCGAUAUUUCCCACUUGGGGUCGGCUGGCGGCGGACGCUCAGAAACACUGGCCAUGACGGUAGAUUCUCUUGAAAUUGGGUGGACGAUGCGGACCCAGGGUAGACCAGAGUUCACGGAGGUCACCUGCUUGGAUCAUCGGGGACAGGUUGGAGCCAGACAACGCAUGCUGGGCAUUGGGAAAGGGUUGAGGUCCCGUGGGGACUGAAGACUCAAAGUUGUGUGGAGUCGCGUGGGAUCCGUGGGGAGGAUAGGAACAGGGAAGGGUCAGCUCGUCUGGCGGCAGAGCAGUGAGUGCUAAGCCGGCCUCAGGCCCUGCUGGGACUUUAGGAGGAACAGAGAGAUCAAAACUCGGUAUCUAAUUCCAGUUACCUCUUGCUCGGGUGGGAAGCGAAAUGACAUAUAGUAAGUUCUUGCUGCCCUAAAGAACAGCAGAACGUUCAGUUCAAGAUUUUUGUAAAAAAAAAAUGGUUUUCCUCUUAUUACUGAGGACUUUUGAUGGUGGACAGCGGUUAAGAGCAUUGCCUGCUCUUCCAAAGGUCCCGAGUUCAAGUCCCGGCAACCACACGGUGGCUCACAACCAUCUGUAAUGGGGUCUGCUAGAUUCUUCCGUUUGCCCUGAGUCACCCCGGAAGAAUGUGGACACCAGUGCCGGCCAGCGGCGGCGUGAGACUGCGCAUCAACACUCAAAACAUUUAAAACGUAUAAAACGAAAGACAAAUGGUCUCUGGGGGAGGAACCGUAUUCCCCCCCCCCCUUUUUUUUCGUUUUACGCACAUAGGCUCUGCGCGCACGAUGCGCUCGUCCCACGGCACCCUGUCCUGGAGGAUGACAAGGUUUUCCCGUUUUAUAACAAAUGGAGAAGCCAGAGCAAAAUUUAGCAAAGCCCGUGCCGGUGCAGGCUGGGCCGUUAUCAGUUCUUACAGUGUUUGGAGCUCCCGCGUGGGCAAAAGCCUGGAGACGGCGACUUUUAACAACACCUCGUAAUCUUGCUCCCGCGUGAGCCGAGGCGAAAAUAAGACGGGACUGCGCAUCCACGGGUGCGCGGACAUAUCGCGGGCGCCCAAAAGAAGGCGGACGGGUGACAUCCACCUGCCAUAAAUGGUUCGGGGCCAGGCCACGGGGGUCAACUCCCAAAUGGGGAACAGGAGAAAGUCCUGUACACCGAGAGCACUGUUUAACGACGGCCGUGGGUUGCUCUCGGGAAAUCUUAAAAGGAAAUCUUCACGAGGCACGCAGCAUCGAGAUGAAAAUCGAUUGUGAGCGUUUAUUUAUUUUUUGCAGCUUGCCCCACGGUACGAAUCCGGUGGGUAAGCUGACGCGCCACUGCAUUCCCCUCGCUCAAUGGACCGCGGAGGUCAGCGUGAGCCCGCGAAUGCCCCGCGGAAAUGGGAACAGACCGGGCACAGCGCCAAGCUCGAAGAGCCAGUCACUGCGUCUGGACUCGACGGGCAGAGGCCAUAGAAGCUGCGGUUUCCAAAGGUGCAAGAAUUUUGCCCACGGACUGACUGUCGGUAGAAAGGUUACAUGGAAGGAAAAUCAGUGUAUUUCUCUGAGGCCAUUCGUGCCGCCGCCCCCGGAGCAGAUUGAGUAUCAGCAGGGUGAAUAUCAGAAUCAGCAGGGGAGGCCACCGCAGCUCUCCCGGAGGAAGACGCAGCAGCCAACGCAUACCCUGCCCCUGCCAGGGGCUGCAGAGAUAUCAUAACUUUAGGGAAACACACCGGGUGAUUUUUGAAAAAAAAAGUGACCGACCGAUCGGAAGGAUAAGGAUGACCCAACCUGCGGGGAUCCGUGCGUAAAAACAAGGUCCGGUCUUCCGCAGAAUUUCCGCAACCCAGUUAUUCCUGCCUGGGUCUGCGGUGUGAUAACCUGGUCAGGUGACAUCCCAAAGGUCUGCAAACUAAAAAUGACACGUCGCCCAGCUGACGGGGACGAGACAACAAUUGUUACAGGAGACCCAUGAUCGCGCACGCACCCACAGGCUGGGUCCUCGCUGCCAAAAAAAAAAAAAAAAAAAUAAGUUUAUAACCUUUCUGAAUAACACGUGGCCCAGUUGACGGGUACGAGAUUAUAAUUUUUUACAGGAGACCCGUGAAACUCCAGUAGGGCUACGCUGAGAGGGGAAAAUUAAAUUAUCAAUACCAGCGGCUGAGGAGAGUCAAUAUAAUGAACCUAACCAGAGGCGAGCUUCGUUUAAGUAAAGCAACACAUUGUCUUUCUUGCCUGAGGCGUCAGCUCUGGAAAGGAGGCUGGGUCUGGAUUUCCCUGCGGUUUCUGUCCCUGCAGCCGUGUGCCGCUUUGAGAUCCCACAGCAGCCUCCAUUCACCAGA